RNAcentral lists this ribosomal RNA (461 nucleotides) under uncultured bacterium. RNAcentral's name for it is "partial 16S ribosomal RNA". It matches the Rfam family "Bacterial small subunit ribosomal RNA", at positions 338 to 795 of the family's 1533-position model. The record is from RNAcentral.
CCUACGUGUGGCUGCAGUGAGGAAUAUUGGUCAAUGGGCGGGAGCCUGAACCAGCCAAGUCGCGUGAGGGAAGACGGUCCUAUGGAUUGUAAACCUCUUUAGGCGGGGAGCAAUGCCGGGCACGCGUGCCCGGAGGGAGAGUACCCGCAGAAUAAGCAUCGGCUAACUCCGUGCCAGCAGCCGCGGUAAUACGGAGGAUGCGAGCGGUAAUCGGAAGUACUGGGCGGAAAGCGCUCGUAGGCGGUAUGUCAAGGUAAGGGUGAAAUCCCCGCGCUCAAAGUGGGAACUGCCUUUGAAACUGGCAAACUGGAGUGUGUGAGAGGAUAGUGGAAUUCCAGGUGUAGGAGUGAAAGCCGUAGAUAUCUGGAGGAACAUCAGUGGCGAAGGCGACUAUCUGGCACAUAACUGACGCUGAGGAGCGAAAGCGUGGGUAGCAAACAGGAUUAGAUACCCCGGUAGUC